RNAcentral lists this ribosomal RNA (460 nucleotides) under uncultured bacterium. RNAcentral's name for it is "partial 16S ribosomal RNA". It matches the Rfam family "Bacterial small subunit ribosomal RNA", at positions 338 to 795 of the family's 1533-position model. The record is from RNAcentral.
CCUACGGGAGGCAGCAGUGAGGAAUAUUGGUCAAUGGACGCAAGUCUGAACCAGCCAUGCCGCGUGCAGGAAGACGGCUCUAUGAGUUGUAAACUGCUUUUGUACGAGGGUAAACGCAGAUACGCGUAUCUAUCUGAAAGUAUCGUACGAAUAAGCAUCGGCUAACUCCGUGCCAGCAGCCGCGGUAAUACGGAGGAUUCAAGCGUUAUCCGGAUUUAUUGGGUUUAAAGGGUGCGUAGGCGGUCGGAUAAGUUAGAGGUGAAAUCUCGAGGCUCAACUUUGGAAUUGCCUCUGAUACUGGUCGGCUAGAGAGUAGUUGCGGUAGGCGGAAUGUAUGGUGUAGCGGUGAAAUGCUUAGAGAUCAUACAGAACACCGAUUGCGAAGGCAGCUUACUAAGCUACUUCUGACGCUGAGGCACGAAAGCGUGGGGAGCAAACAGGAUUAGAUACCCGGGUAGUC